Non-coding RNA from Gossypium raimondii (Peruvian cotton), 145 nucleotides. NCBI's taxonomy places the organism in Eukaryota, Viridiplantae, Streptophyta, Magnoliopsida, Malvales, Malvaceae. The record is from Rfam.
UUUUAAAAAAUUCAUCCAUUUGUACUGUUAAAAACUAGUGUGCUUGAAGAAAUAACUAAACAGUAACAUGUGACGUGCUAUGUGUACCUCAUGUUGACAUUCAGGGAUCAAUUUUUAAGGGUAGAAAUGGAAAAAAUCUUUAAUA